This 405-nucleotide ribosomal RNA is filed under the name uncultured bacterium. RNAcentral describes it as "bacterial SSU rRNA". It matches the Rfam family "Bacterial small subunit ribosomal RNA", at positions 355 to 776 of the family's 1533-position model. The record is from RNAcentral.
UGGGGAAUAUUGCACAAUGGGGGGAACCCUGAUGCAGCGACGCCGCGUGAGCGAAGAAGUAUUUCGGUAUGUAAAGCUCUAUCAGCAGGGAAGAAGAAGGACGGUACCUGACUAAGAAGCUCCGGCUAAAUACGUGCCAGCAGCCGCGGUAAUACGUAUGGAGCAAGCGUUAUCCGGAUUUACUGGGUGUAAAGGGAGCGCAGGCGGCGCGGCAAGUCUGGUGUGAAAUACCGGGGCCCAACCCCGGGACUGCAUUGGAAACUGUCGGGCUGGAGUGUCGGAGGGGCAGGCGGAAUUCCUAGUGUAGCGGUGAAAUGCGUAGAUAUUAGGAGGAACACCGGUGGCGAAGGCGGCCUGCUGGACGACAACUGACGCUGAGGCUCGAAAGCGUGGGGAGCAAACAGG